CUCUCUGAUUCAGCGGCGGACGGGUGAGUAAUGCCUAGGAAUCUGCCUGGUAGUGGGGGACAACGUUUCGAAAGGAACGCUAAUACCGCAUACGUCCUACGGGAGAAAGCAGGGGACCUUCGGGCCUUGCGCUAUCAGAUGAGCCUAGGUCGGAUUAGCUAGUUGGUGAGGUAAUGGCUCACCAAGGCGACGAUCCGUAACUGGUCUGAGAGGAUGAUCAGUCACACUGGAACUGAGACACGUUCCAGACUAAUACGGGAGGCAGCAGUGGGGAAUAUUGGACAAUGGGCGAAAGCCUGAUCCAGCCAUGCCGCGGUGUGUGAAGAAAGGGUUCUUCGGAAUUGUAAAGGGCACUUUUAAGUUGGGGAAGGGAAGGGUUGUUAAGAUUAAUACCUCCCUGCAAUUUUUUGGACGUUACCCCGACAGAAUAAGGCAACCCGGCUAACUUUCUGUGCCCAAGGCAGCCCGCGGGGUAAUACCAAGAGGGGGUGCAAGCGGGUUAAUCGGGAAAUUUACUGGGGGCGGUAAAGCGGGCGCGUAAGGGUGGUUUGGGUUAAGUUGGGAUUGGUGAAAAGCCCCCGGGGGCUCAACCCUGGGGAAACUUGGCAUUUCAAAAAACUGGACAAAGCCUAGAAAAGUAUGGGUAGAGGGGUGGGUGGGAAUUUUUCCCUGUGUAGCGGGUGAAAAUGCCGUAGAAUAUAGGGAAGGGAACACCCAGUGGGCGAAAGGCGGACCACCCUGGGACUGGAUACUUGACAACUGAGGGUGCGAAAAGCCGUGGGGGAGCAAAACAGGGAUUAAGAUACCCCUGGGUAGUCCCACGCCCGUAAAACGAAUGUCCAACCUAGCCCGUUUGGGGAGCCCUUUGAGCCUCUUUAGUGGGCCGCAGCUUAACGCCAUUAAAGUUUGACCGCCCUGGGGGAGUACGGGCCGCAAGGGUUAAAACUCAAAAUGAAUUUGACGGGGGGCCCGCACAAAGCGGGGGAACCAUGUGGGUUUAAUUUCGAAGCAACGCGGAAGAACCUUUACCAGGGCCUUGACAUCCAAUGAACUUUCCAGAAGAUGGAUUGGUGCCUUCGGGAACAUUGAGACAGGUGCUGCAUGGCUGUCGUCAGCUCGU
This 1120-nucleotide ribosomal RNA is filed under the name Pseudomonas sp. KPS-1. RNAcentral describes it as "bacterial SSU rRNA". It matches the Rfam family "Bacterial small subunit ribosomal RNA", at positions 83 to 1063 of the family's 1533-position model. The record is from RNAcentral. Lineage: Bacteria; Pseudomonadati; Pseudomonadota; Gammaproteobacteria; Pseudomonadales; Pseudomonadaceae.